UACGUAGGGAGCAAGCGUUGUCCGGAAUCAUUGGGCGUAAAGCGCGCGUAGGUGGCUUCGUAAGUCCGUUGUGAAAGUCAAAGGCUCAACCUUUGAAAGCCGAUGGAUACUGCGGAGCUAGAGUACGGAAGAGGCGAGUGGAAUUCCCGGUGUAGCGGUGGAAUGCGCAGAUAUCAGGAGGAACACCAAUAGCGAAGGCAGCUCGCUGGGACGUUACUGACACUGAGGCGCGAAAGCGUGGGGAGCGAACAGG
This 253-nucleotide ribosomal RNA is filed under the name uncultured bacterium. RNAcentral's name for it is "partial 16S ribosomal RNA". It matches the Rfam family "Bacterial small subunit ribosomal RNA", at positions 524 to 776 of the family's 1533-position model. The record is from RNAcentral.